RNAcentral lists this ribosomal RNA (253 nucleotides) under uncultured bacterium. Its description in RNAcentral is "partial 16S ribosomal RNA". It matches the Rfam family "Bacterial small subunit ribosomal RNA", at positions 524 to 776 of the family's 1533-position model. The record is from RNAcentral.
UACGGAGGAGGCAAGCGUUAUCCGGAUUCACUGGGUUUAAAGGGCGAGUAGGCGGCCUUCUAAGUCAGACGUGAAAUCCCCCGGCUUAACCUGGGAACUGCGUCUGAUACUGGGAGGCUUGAGUAUGGGAGAGGGAUGUAGAAUUCCAGGUGUAGCGGUGAAAUGCGUAGAUAUCUGGAGGAAUACCGGUGGCGAAGGCGGCAUCCUGGACCGACACUGACGCUGAGGCGCGAAAGCCAGGGGAGCAAACGGG